RNAcentral lists this ribosomal RNA (467 nucleotides) under uncultured bacterium. RNAcentral's name for it is "partial 16S ribosomal RNA". It matches the Rfam family "Bacterial small subunit ribosomal RNA", at positions 28 to 506 of the family's 1533-position model. The record is from RNAcentral.
GACGAACGCUGGCGGCGUGCUUAACACAUGCAAGUCGAACGGAAAGGCCCUGCUUUUGUGGGGUGCUCGAGUGGCGAACGGGUGAGUAACACGUGAGUAACCUGCCCUUGACUUUGGGAUAACUUCAGGAAACUGGGGCUAAUACCGGAUAGGAGCUCCUGCUGCAUGGUGGGGGUUGGAAAGUUUCGGCGGUUGGGGAUGGACUCGCGGCUUAUCAGCUUGUUGGUGGGGUAGUGGCUUACCAAGGCUUUGACGGGUAGCCGGCCUGAGAGGGUGACCGGCCACAUUGGGACUGAGAUACGGCCCAGACUCCUACGGGAGGCAGCAGUGGGGAAUAUUGCACAAUGGGCGGAAGCCUGAUGCAGCAACGCCGCGUGCGGGAUGACGGCCUUCGGGUUGUAAACCGAUUUCGCCUGUGACGAAGCGUGAGUGAAGGUAAUGGGUAAAGAAGCACCGGCUAACUACGU